Long non-coding RNA from Venturia canescens, 1051 nucleotides. RefSeq lists it as uncharacterized. The record is from RefSeq and is a predicted model, not a curated record. The transcript has 3 exons. NCBI's taxonomy places the organism in Eukaryota, Metazoa, Arthropoda, Insecta, Hymenoptera, Ichneumonidae.
GCAUCGCGUACACCACGCCUUGUGAUUAUCGUUUCGUCAGUAGCGUAGUAGAAGCCAGUCUCUCAUUAGUACAAUGCUCCUGUCGUGUCGGCGUUCUCUCUUCGAUUUUCGCUACACAAUAUAUAUCUGGAUAGGCGCUACGCUGCCUGGACGAAAAUAAGGGUGUAUCGCAGCCCGGGAAAAUUGACCCAAAAUCCGCGAGGGCAGCACCAAAUUGGCUCCGACCACGCUCCGACGGAAUCUCGAGUUACGAGAGAACACCAGAGAGCGCACAUGUACACGAGCAGGCGAAACAGGACACCCCACCGCGAUUCGAGACGCUCACGGAGAUAUUCUCGUACUCUUCCAACACCCUUCAAACAAAAAGAAUACAAUAUUGCUUUUACGAUUUUUUAUCUCAUUUUUUGCCGUUCUUUUAUUUUAUAGUUUGUCUAAGUUUCUCGGAUUUUUUUGAAAAACACGUCAAACACCAUUUUCAUUGAUUUGAAAUAAAGUUCAUUUUCAAAACGUCGACAGCUUCAGACUACGAAAAAAAAUUGCCCACUCAAGUUGAUUCGUUUUUUUCAAAUCUUUCUAAACAAUGAAAAUAUUGAGCUAUAUUCGAACUAUUUUUGUCAGAUACGUUCGGACGUCCCAUGUGGCAACAAAGUUUUGUUUUCAGUGCACCGAAGUGGAAGUAAUGCUGAGGAUCAUGUGACUGGAAUAUACCGGGGCCCUACCGAACGUUUGAGGCGAUCAUUUAUGUACGAAAACAACGAUGCGAUAUCUUCACGGGUUCUUCUUUUUGCCAUACAGCAACAGCAGCAGCUCACGAGGUCGUGACAUGUAUAGAUAUAGCACGCUGCUCUUGCCCUCAGUGUACGCGUGAAUGUAUUGAAAAGACUUUAUUUCCAAGUUCCACAAACAAAGAAGUCUCAGCAAAACUAAGGAAAACAGUGGUGGAUGGAGAAAAGGAUCGAGAACGUUGAAAAUACGAUUGCGAAGGAACGUUUCGUCGGGAUGCUCGAGACCAAAGUGAGGAAAGACUCGGAACUCGACAAUUUGCUCCGUG